ACCUAGACAGGAACAACUGCUGUCUGCUUUUAGCGACACACCUCAGUGAUUGGUGAUCGCUUUAUGGUCACGAUCGGAAAGGGGUGCGGAGCACAAACACUCCCAAACGUCUCUUUGAACUGCCGGAGAACUGUGUUAGCUGCAUGUGUACGGUGCUCCGCGACAACAAUAAGCCAAACACGAUAGUUAACGUGAACUGUUUUUCACAGCGUUUUAAAACGAAACAGUGAUACAAAACGAUGAGCGUAAGGGAGCCAGCGCGAUCAAAACAAACCGCCAGCAUGAGCAGUCACCGCAGCACUAAUGGUUGCAGAUAAGGAACAGAAUGAUUACGGCAUGGUUCAAAUUAGCGAACAUAGAACGCAGAUCGAAAACUUGAGCUACGGGACAGCAGUGGAAAAGCGUAAGUAGAAUCAUCUGCGAUAGCAGAGAAGGCGAUAGUCGGAACAAAACCAAUCAAGUAC
Varroa destructor (honeybee mite) is the source of this 464-nucleotide long non-coding RNA. The record is from RefSeq and is a predicted model, not a curated record. Lineage: Eukaryota; Metazoa; Arthropoda; Arachnida; Mesostigmata; Varroidae.